GUAUAAGCAGGGCUGGUUUGGAUAGAACUGUAUAUGAUUUUAAUUCUAGGAAUUAAUUUUCAAUUGUCUUCAUGUAACAUGGACAACACGGUUGGUAUAGGGACUGGAGUUAAUUUUGACCACACUUCAAUGAUUAAGCAUGAUAAUCUGAGCGGCUUCAGAGCAAUAUGGGAUCGGGAUGAUUCACACAUCUUCAUUGGCAAUAUGAAAAGAGGAGUUGAUGUUAUCUCCCUAACUCUUGAAAAAACAAUAUUCACUCUACAAAGCCCACACAUGUCAGCAGUUCCACGCAGGUUUGAUGCACACCCUUCAACUGUUGGCAUGCUUGCAGGAGCCACUUGUUUGGGCCAGGUUUAUAUGUGGACAUUGGGCUAGCAACCUCAGUUUCUUUCUGUAAAACAGGACUGCUGUUGCAUAUUGAUUUUUUUUUUUUGGGGUAGAAUUGACAGAGUUUGUGCAGUUUGAUGUCUUGCAAAAUGACGAGAAACUGCUUUUGUUAGGCAGAGUGACUAGAAAUCCGGGUCCUUGAUCAAAUGGUUUUGUAUAGAUCAUGCACACUUUCAUUGUGGAAUAAGAAUGAGUAGUUUAGUACAAGAAGCAAAGGAAGUUGGAAUCUCAUGUAGUAGAUCGGUAUCCUUUUGACUAAUAUUUUGUUCCAAUUACUGGCAUUCUGAGUCUUGAAUAUUCUUCAUUUUAAUAUCCUUUUGACUAUCA
This is a long non-coding RNA of Quercus robur (English oak), 714 nucleotides long. RefSeq lists it as uncharacterized. NCBI's taxonomy places the organism in Eukaryota, Viridiplantae, Streptophyta, Magnoliopsida, Fagales, Fagaceae. The record is from RefSeq and is a predicted model, not a curated record. The transcript is spliced from 2 exons.